Molecule: long non-coding RNA, 1518 nt
Organism: Oncorhynchus kisutch (coho salmon)
Lineage: Eukaryota; Metazoa; Chordata; Actinopteri; Salmoniformes; Salmonidae
Exons: 3
Source: RefSeq, a predicted model, not a curated record
AGAGGACAGUACACUGUGACACAGACUCCUUUGAUGAAAGCUGUUCUCCCAGGACAGACAGUCUCUCUGAACUGUAAAACCAGCAGGGAUGUGUAUCCUAACUGUGGUUCGUCUUUGCCCUGUAUGGCCUGGUACCAACAGAAACCUGGAUCCAUUCCCGAACUCCUUGUUUAUCAAGGAAGUACUCUUAACUCUGGGACUCUGGGAGGAAACGGGUACAGAAGUAUCUAUAUCCACAGUAAAACAAGUCCUAUAUCGACAUAACCUGAAAGGCCGCUCAGCAAGAAAGAAGCCACUGCUCCAAAACCGCCAUAAAAAAGCCAGACUUCAGUUUGCAACUGCACAUGGGGACAAAGAUCAGCAUCAUGUUCUGAAUCAUGUUCUGAAUGUUCUGAGUACUAUGGUGUUGAAGGCUGAGCUAUAGUCAAUGAACAGCAUUCUUACAUAGGAACAAUGGUGGCCAUCUUCAAGCAAGUGGGGACAGCAGACUGGGAAAGGGAGAGAUUGACUAUGUCCAUAAACACUCCAGCCAAUUGGUCUGCACAGCCCAAUUCAGAUCUUUUUUUCACUAGUUGGUCGUCUGACCAAUUCAAUCAGCUCUGAUGUCAAAAGAUCUGAUGUGAUUGGUCAAGAGACAAAUGAAUGGGAAAAAGAUCAGAUUUGGUCUGUCUGUGUAGACGCACCCAGUGUCCCUCUGGGAUCAUGAAGAGUCCAUAUAACUGUGUCUCCUGCAGUGAAAACUGUUUCGGUGGGUUACUCAGUCAGUCUCAGCUGUAAGACCAGCAGUGCUGUAAACAUUUACAGACAAAGACAGAGGUUGGCCUGGUAUCAACAGAAAUGGAGAAGCUUCUAGACUCCUUACAUAUUUCAAUAGUGCUCUUAACUCUGGGAUACCAUCUAGAUUCAGUGGCAGUGGAUCUGGGAGUGACUUCACUCUGACCAUCAGUGGAGUCCAGACUGAAAAUGCAGGAGAUUACUACUGUCAGAGUUUACACAUCCCCAAUAGUAAACAUGUGUUCACACAGUGAUACAGAGCCGUACGAAAACCUCCCUCAGUCAGACUGCACAGUGACUUUACUGAUACAGCUGGGACCUACUGCAGGUGCUGAGGAGGAAGAGACAGAGACAUGGAACACUGACUGAACUAAAAUACACUGAGCUAAAUAUAUCAGUGAUGCUGACAAUAUGUCAACUAUUUCACCCUCAUGCUAAAGCAUUCCUGAACUGAUAACACUCACAGGUCCAGACUACAUAAAUAUUACUUCCCUGUUGCUAUGGCCAACAAACGUUUUCAUAACAUGUCACACAAUAAGUUGAAUGGACUCCAUCUACAGUGCCUUGCGAAAGUAUUCGGCCCCCUUGAACUUUGCGACCUUUUGCCACAUUUCAGGCUUCAAACAUAAAGAUAUAAAACUGUAUUUUUUUGUGAAGAAUCAACAACAAGUGGGACACAAUCAUGAAGUGGAACGACAUUUAUUGGAUAUUUCAAACUUUUUUAACAAAUAAAAAACUGAAAAA